CGGUGAGAUAAAGAUGUGUCGUGUCAUGUCUAAUCACUGUACUUGCUCUCUAUGUACUUUGUUUUAGUCCGACUCAAUUUGAAACCUUUCGACUCUAUAUUCUAUUUUCGGACUCUAGGCUAUCGUUCACGUUGUUACAUGUCUCGUCAAUUAGUACAGUGAUAAGAAAUAAGACAACACAUUUUCUUCACACCGAGGACAUGACCCUAGAUUAAAAAAUAUAUAAAGG
RNAcentral lists this unclassified non-coding RNA (229 nucleotides) under Hevea brasiliensis (rubber tree). Lineage: Eukaryota; Viridiplantae; Streptophyta; Magnoliopsida; Malpighiales; Euphorbiaceae. The record is from RNAcentral.